CAGCGCCCUGCUGGAAACGUUCGCCAUCGUCCGUGCCGUGGGCGGCCGCCGCGAUCUGGUCGAGGUUCUGUCGUGCGACGCCGCGGCGCGGA
Molecule: transfer RNA, 92 nt
Filed under: Nocardia cerradoensis
Lineage: Bacteria; Bacillati; Actinomycetota; Actinomycetes; Mycobacteriales; Nocardiaceae
Description: tRNA-Gly
Source: RNAcentral